This 298-nucleotide ribosomal RNA is filed under the name uncultured bacterium. RNAcentral's name for it is "partial 16S ribosomal RNA". It matches the Rfam family "Bacterial small subunit ribosomal RNA", at positions 1094 to 1387 of the family's 1533-position model. The record is from RNAcentral.
GAGCGCAACCCUUAUCCUUUGUUGCCAGCGGUUCGGCCGGGAACUCAAAGGAGACUGCCAGUGAUAAACUGGAGGAAGGUGGGGUGACGUCAAGUCAUCAUGGCCCUUACGAGUAGGGCUACACACGUGCUACAAUGGCGCAUACAAAGAGAAGCGACCUCGCGAGAGCAAGCGGACCUCAUAAAGUGCGUCGUAGUCCGGAUUGGAGUCUGCAACUCGACUCCAUGAAGUCGGAAUCGCUAGUAAUCGUAGAUCAGAAUGCUGCGGUGAAUACGAUCCCGGGUCUUGUACAACACCA